UGAGGAAUAUUGGGCAAUGCCCGCAAGGGUGACCCAGCAACGCCGCGUGGAGGAUGAAGGUCGUAAGAUCGUAAACUCCUGUUAGAGGGGAAGAACAUCAUCGAUUGGAUCGAUGUUUGACUGUACCCUCAGAGAAAGCCCCGGCUAACUACGUGCCAGCAGCCGCGGUAAUACGUAGGGGGCAAGCGUUGUCCGGAUUUACUGGGUGUAAAGGGCGCGCAGGCGGGAUAGCAAGUCAGAGGUGAAAUCCUACAGCUUAACUGUAGAACUGCCUUUGAUACUGUUAUUCUUGAGUUCGGGAGAGAGAGACGGAAUUCCAGGUGUAGUGGUGAAAUACGUAGAUAUCUGGAAGAACACCAGUUGCGAAGGCGGUCUCUUGGUCCGAUACUGACGCUGAGGC
Molecule: ribosomal RNA, 400 nt
Filed under: uncultured bacterium
Lineage: Bacteria
Description: bacterial SSU rRNA
Rfam family: Bacterial small subunit ribosomal RNA
Source: RNAcentral